CAAAUAUUCAGACUGUCACAUUGCCUCUCAUUAAAACUCAGAAAAAAACAGUGUCACGUGGCAAACACAAGUGGAGAAUUACCUUUCCAGGGGAUGAGAAAUGCCUGCAUUAUGGUGAGGAGUCAUUUUGUAAACAUUGUUUCACUGGAAGUGUUAGAGGAACUGUAACUGAAGCAACCCAAGCUUUAAGUACACUGGAGUUUGGAGCACCUGUUAAGAAAGAUGAGGUACACUGGUUUGAUCCUAGUGGGACUCGAAUUCCCCGUAAACAGCCCCAAGUUGAUCACCAUGAUAGUCUUCGUUUUCUUCGGUAAGUGAAUUAUUCUUCUGGUUUAUCUGAAUUCAUAACAUCAAUUCUUUGUGAAUCAAAUAGUGUCUCCAGUUACUUAAAUAUCAAGCUAACAAAGGUUUAUAAUAUAAAGUAUUAAUUACAAAUUUGCACUCUAACAUAGCUUAUUACUUUUACAAAAAUGUAUGCCUACUUUCACUCAUUUAUAACUCUAUAGAAAAUGCACAAUGUGAGAAUUGCAUUUUACCACUCAGAUUUUUUCAUAUAUACACACACACACACACACACACACACAUACUGAUUCGGUUAGUUCAGGUAAUUGAUUAGGGUUUAUAAAAUUUACAUAUAUAUUAGAGCCUUUUAGAAAUGAAACUUUCUGGUAUUUAUUUACAGGUUAUAAGAUGACAAAUUUCAUGUUAUUAUCCAUUUUUCUUUUCAUUUAAAUUAAAACAAGAUCCAUUCAGUUUCCUUUAUUUUAGAUGUUAAUAUUUAAUAAAUAGGAGACAGACAGUUCAUAGAGUAACACAACACAACCUCAAAUGCUUCACAUUUCAGUUCAUUUUUAUAACCCAGAGCUAAAGUGUGAGCUUCUCUCUGUAAAAAUAAUGUAUGCUUAAAGUAGAAUCUAUGUAGAGCUACUUGGUAUACAUGUGAUUGGAGAAGCUAUUAUAUAUUCCUAAGCAUGCAGUAGAAUCUACAAACUGAAUUCAGAAAAAAGGAUA
RNAcentral lists this long non-coding RNA (1011 nucleotides) under Bos grunniens (domestic yak). RNAcentral describes it as "lncRNA (ENSBGRG00000024322.1)". The record is from RNAcentral. Lineage: Eukaryota; Metazoa; Chordata; Mammalia; Artiodactyla; Bovidae.